GACGAACGCUGGCGGCGUGCUUAACACAUGCAAGUCGAACGGAAAGGCCCUGCUUUUGUGGGGUGCUCGAGUGGCGAACGGGUGAGUAACACGUGAGUAACCUGCCCUUGACUUUGGGAUAACUUCAGGAAACUGGGGCUAAUACCGGAUAGGAUCUCCUGCUGCAUGGUGGGGGUUGGAAAGUUUCGGCGGUAGGGGAUCGACUCGCGGCUUAUCAGCUUGUUGGUGGGGUAGUGGCUUACGAAGGCUUUGACGGGUAGCCGGCCUGAGAGGGUGACCGGCGACAAUGGUACUAAGAGACGGCGCAGUCGCCUACGGUAGGCAGCAGUGGAGAAUAUUGCAGAAUGGGGGGGAGCGUGAGGCAGCAACGCCGCGUGCGGAAUGACGGGCUACGAGGUGAAAACCGCUGUCGCAGGAAACGAAGCGGGAGUGACGGUAAUGGGUAAAGAAGCACCGGCUAACUACGUG
Molecule: ribosomal RNA, 468 nt
Filed under: uncultured bacterium
Lineage: Bacteria
Description: partial 16S ribosomal RNA
Rfam family: Bacterial small subunit ribosomal RNA
Source: RNAcentral